RNAcentral lists this ribosomal RNA (303 nucleotides) under Alexandrium tamarense. RNAcentral describes it as "partial Bacterial large subunit ribosomal RNA". It matches the Rfam family "Bacterial large subunit ribosomal RNA", at positions 1124 to 1432 of the family's 2925-position model. Lineage: Eukaryota; Dinophyceae; Gonyaulacales; Pyrocystaceae. The record is from RNAcentral.
UAAAGAAAGCGUAAUAGCUCACUGGUCUAGAGUCUCUGCGCCGAAAAUUCAACGGGGCUCAAGUAUGGCACCGAAGUCGUAGACUCCUCCGGGAGUGGUAGCCGAGCGUUCCGUAAGCCUGUGAAGGUGAACCGUGAGGUUUGCUGGAGGUAUCGGAAGUGAUUAUGCCGUCAUGAGUAACGAUAAAACAGGUUACAAGCCUGUUCGCCGUAAGCCCAAGGUUUCCUGCGCAAGGGUAAACCGCGCAGGGUUAGCCGGCCCCUAAGCCGAGGCCGAAAGGCGUAGCUGAUGGAAAACGGGUUA